RNAcentral lists this ribosomal RNA (635 nucleotides) under Pteroptrix sp. D2704. Its description in RNAcentral is "partial large subunit ribosomal RNA". It matches the Rfam family "Eukaryotic large subunit ribosomal RNA", at positions 349 to 671 of the family's 3401-position model. Lineage: Eukaryota; Metazoa; Arthropoda; Insecta; Hymenoptera; Aphelinidae. The record is from RNAcentral.
UACCGUGGGGGGAAAGUUGAAAAGAACUUUGAAGAGAGAGUUCAAGAGUACGUGAAACCGUUCAGGGGUAAACCUGAGAAACCCAAAAGAUCGAAUGGGGAGAUUCAUCGUCAGUCCCUUUGGCUUGCGUGUGGUUUUUUGCGAUGUCUUUUAUCGGGUGUUUCGUCGUUUCGGCGACGUCUACCCGGUCACGCUGCCACUGCGAUUUAAUGACCGAAGGGAUCGGCGUGCACUUCUCCCCUAGUAGGACGUCGCGACCCGCUGGGUGCCGGCCUACGGCCCGGUAGGUCGACUGUCGCGUCGCGUCUUUAAAAAGUCGCGUUCACGUCGACAGACCUCCGGUUAGCCCGGCCGGCUGCCCGGCGGUAUUCGAACGGAUUAUUUUAUAUGGUAUUGGGCCGCACGUUACGAAAAUUGAUUCGUAUCUGUGCGUUACGGCCCGUCGACUGGGCUCGUCUCGCUCGGAUUUUGAACGAACCUAGCUUUGUUGCCGAGCGUUUGACGCGGCCCGCAUGGUCGGCGGUGUCCUCGAACGGGCCCGGGCGUUCGCCCCCUCUAAAGGGCGAACGCGUUACCGGUCGGCGACGCUAUUGCUUUGGGUACUUUCAGGACCCGUCUUGAAAACCGGACCAAAA